RNAcentral lists this long non-coding RNA (423 nucleotides) under Ananas comosus (pineapple). RNAcentral's name for it is "long non-coding RNA (ACOM_LNC016653)". The record is from RNAcentral. Lineage: Eukaryota; Viridiplantae; Streptophyta; Magnoliopsida; Poales; Bromeliaceae.
UUGAUAUUUUAUAUUUUUCAAAUUUAAAUUUGAUCUUAAAUUUAAAGUUUGAAAUUUAAAUUUAAAAUUUUGAAUUUAAAAUUUGAGAUUUUAAAUUUUAAAUUUUAAUUUAAAAUUUUAUAAUUUAAAAGUAAAAAAAUUUAAAUUUUAAAAAAAAUAUAUAUAUAAAAUUUCAAAUUUCAAAUUCAAAUAUAAUGAGAAGCGUAAUAUCAUUAUUUUUUAUUUAUAACUACCCACUUUAAUUAUUAUUCCAUCUUAUCUAACCAAACGUUAAUUUUUUUAUUCCCAGAAAUAAUCCAAUUUUCACCAAAAUGCAAAAUUGAUUUAAUCCCCGCUUAUACCUCAAUUUAUAUCUAUCUCUGGAAUAACCACUUUUUGCUUAUCUCGAACCAAAUGAUACCUAAGGGUUUGUGGGAUUGUGAG